UGGCGGUGUUUUAGACUUCUUAGGGGAGCUUGUUUCGUAAUCGACAAUCCACGAUAGACCUAACCUUUUUUUGUAUCCAGUAUGUAUACCGUUGUCGUCAGGUAACUUUUAAAAAUAUAAAAGCUAGCAAAUAAGUUUUUAACUUGUACGUCAAAUCAAGGUGCAACCCAUAAAAAGGAGAGAAUGAGCUACAAUUAAAAGUUAUAAUACGAAUAAAACACAUAAAAAGAAUUUGAAGGAGGACUUAAAAGUAAAAAAAUAAUCAUAAAAACUUUUUGAAUCUAGCUCUGAAACGUGCACACACCGCCCGUCAC
This 314-nucleotide ribosomal RNA is filed under the name Tatea huonensis. RNAcentral describes it as "partial 12S ribosomal RNA". The record is from RNAcentral. Lineage: Eukaryota; Metazoa; Mollusca; Gastropoda; Littorinimorpha; Tateidae.